RNAcentral lists this long non-coding RNA (308 nucleotides) under Manihot esculenta (cassava). Its description in RNAcentral is "long non-coding RNA (MESC_LNC008370)". The record is from RNAcentral. Lineage: Eukaryota; Viridiplantae; Streptophyta; Magnoliopsida; Malpighiales; Euphorbiaceae.
GCUUAUUGAUGAGUUUAUGGGUUUUGAUGCUUUGAUGAACAAUGUAGCUUGUUUAUGUGUUGUUGGAAGUGUUGUAGAUGGGGUAUAUGAUGGUUUGAGACCCCUAGGUGUAAUGUAUGUGAAGUAUGCAUGUUGUAGAGCAAGAUUAUGCAUGAUUAGAGGUUUUGGGAGGCAAGAGGUUCGUUUGAACCAAGUUUCUGUCCUUUGGCAGAAACCAGGUUCGGCAGCCGAAGGGAGUUUCGGCCGCCGAACCCCCUUUGUGGAGGCAGCAUUCGGCUGCCGAAGUUGCCCCCGAAAAGAGACUUUCG